Unclassified non-coding RNA from Pongo abelii (Sumatran orangutan), 148 nucleotides. It matches the Rfam family "Metazoan signal recognition particle RNA". Rfam says of the family: The signal recognition particle (SRP) is a universally conserved ribonucleoprotein. It is involved in the co-translational targeting of proteins to membranes. The eukaryotic SRP consists of a 300-nucleotide 7S RNA and six proteins: SRPs 72, 68, 54, 19, 14, and 9. The record is from Ensembl. NCBI's taxonomy places the organism in Eukaryota, Metazoa, Chordata, Mammalia, Primates, Hominidae.
GCUGGGCAUGGUGGCACAUGCCUGAAGUCCCAGCUGCCUGGGAGGCGGAAGUGGGAGGAUCACUUGAGCCUGGGAGUUCAAGGCUGCAGUGAUCCGUGUUUGCACCACUGCACUCCAGCCUGGGCGACAGAGUGAGACCCUAUCUCUU